This 192-nucleotide small RNA is filed under the name Spirodela polyrhiza (greater duckweed). RNAcentral describes it as "putative TAS3". The record is from RNAcentral. Lineage: Eukaryota; Viridiplantae; Streptophyta; Magnoliopsida; Alismatales; Araceae.
GGUGCUAUCCUAUCUGAGCUUAUCGUCUUUUUUUUUCUCCCUCCCUCAUACUCUUUUUCUUGACCUUGCAAGACUUUUUCCUUUUUUGAUUCUCCUCCUGGCCGUCCUCUACUCCGUUCUUUGUUUUGAUUUUCUUCCUCACUUCUACCAACCUUCCCAUCUUCAAUCUCUCUGUCUAUCCCUCCUGAGCUA